This 253-nucleotide ribosomal RNA is filed under the name uncultured bacterium. RNAcentral's name for it is "partial 16S ribosomal RNA". It matches the Rfam family "Bacterial small subunit ribosomal RNA", at positions 524 to 776 of the family's 1533-position model. The record is from RNAcentral.
UACGUAGGGCGCGAGCGUUGUCCGGAAUUACUGGGCGUAAAGCGUGCGCAGGCGGUUUGCUAAGACAGGUGUGAAAUCCCCGGGCUUAACCUGGGAACUGCGCUUGUUACUGGCAAGCUGGAGUGUGGCAGAGGGGGGUGGAAUUCCACGUGUAGCAGUGAAAUGCGUAGAGAUGUGGAGGAACACCGAUGGCGAAGGCAGCCCCCUGGGCUAACACUGACGCUCAUGCACGAAAGCGUGGGGAGCAAACAGG